GUGGGAAACACAGAUAUAGGAUAUCUUAUUUGUUCUAUUAGAUCAUCUUCAUUAUCUAACGUCACUUUUAGUUCACGUUGGAAGUUUUUUGGUAAUAAUAAAAACCAAAUACAUCUCAUAAAGUUAAUGUAAACUGACUGCUAUCAUCACAACAUAUAAGAUCUCCUAAGCCUGUGUUAAAGAAGCAUUAUGUCGAGUUGUUGCAUUAUAAUGUCAUGAUAUAUCUGCAGUAACCGUAUAAUUCUAGUGUUGUAACAUAUAUUAUAUAUAUGUAUAUAUAAUGCUUUGGGCUCUUACAUAACACUCCAUACAGAACCAAUCAGUCGAUAUAAUGGACAUCAUAAAUCACGCGAUGUGAAUCAGACAGUGGGGAGGUGCGACUCGUUGGUCAGAAGGUUCCAAUCAUCGUUUUAUGUCAUCAUUUCCGAGCAGUCAAACAGCGUCAACCACAGCUGUUAUUACACCCCGUUUACGUUGGCGGCGGUAAAGACCAUUUUUAUUGUGCAGUAACUAAAACUAGAAGAUCUGGCGUCCUUUCCCUUCGCCAAAGCGUACAUUUCCGGGGAGCCCGUGGCAUGGUGUGACAGACGUGAGGGAGAGGCUGAAAGCGGUGGCUAGCGAUCCGUCGCUGAUAAACAACUUGACUCGCUUCGACACGGCUGUGCGGUGACUGGGUCAGGGAUGUUAGGCGAUGGAGAACAAAGUAUGGAGCAUGGUGGUACAAAUAAAGGGGGAGAGAAUGUGAGUAGGGGUUUGAAGGGGAGAGAGAGUUAUGGAGGCAGAAAAUGACGUUUGAAGAGAGCAACAUAGUUUCCAGCGGCAGCUCGGGGGUCGAGAGUGCAGAGGAAGGGCAAGAUGCGUCGCGGGGUGAGGAGGAGCAUAAAGUGAUUAUGAACUUUAAGGGAGGAAGGGGGAGUUGGGGCGACGAGUCCGAUAAGGUUGACGGCUGUGAUAAAGUAGUUGAUUGGGGAAAUUGUCAACGCUAAAGUGUUACUGGAUGGGAGCUUGUUGGUGUUCUGUAAGGACAAUGCGCAGAGGGGAAAAGCUCUUGAGUGAAGCAAAUAGGAAAGUGUAAGGUGGUGUCGAGCAGCUGGACUGAUCAAGCAGGAAAACUGUGGAUUAAAGGGGUGAUAACAGGAGUGAAUGUGAGUGUUGGCACUAAAGAGGUAAGAGACAACUUGAGAUGAGUUAUUCUAGUAAAUGAUCAAAGAUUGCAAAAAAACAAGGGGUGGAGUUAGGGUAGAUAGCCCGUUUAUUCUGUUACACUUCAAGGACCGGGUACUGCCAAAUAUAGUAACCAUAGGAUACAUGAGUGUAUCCUAUAAACUGGGUGGUUUGAGCCCUGAAUUCUGAUUGGCUGAAGGCCAUAGUAUAUCAGACCGUAUGCCACUGGUCUGACAAAACAUUUAGUUUUACUGCUCUGAUUACAUUGGUAACCAGUUUAUAAUAGCAAUAAGGCUCCUUAGCCUGAUGUGAUUUGUGUGUGUGAAGGAAACAUGGCUCGUCCCUAGACGAGCAAGGACUUGCUUAUAGGAUGCUGGACAGUAUGAAUAACUGGGUGAGAACAGCGUUAGUGGGGCCAGCUACUGAGGUGAUACCUAAGAGUUCAGGGGGGAGGUGAUAUCUCAGGUGGAUAUGAGAGGGGAUGUGGACAGUAUGAAUAACUGGGUGAGAACAGCGUUAGUGGGGGCAGAUACUGAGGUGAUACCUAAGAGUUCAGGGAGGAGGUGAUAUCUCGGGUGGAUAUGAGAGGGGAUGUGGACCGUAUG
Molecule: non-coding RNA, 1769 nt
Organism: Oncorhynchus mykiss (rainbow trout)
Lineage: Eukaryota; Metazoa; Chordata; Actinopteri; Salmoniformes; Salmonidae
Source: RefSeq, a predicted model, not a curated record